RNAcentral lists this long non-coding RNA (568 nucleotides) under Notechis scutatus (mainland tiger snake). RNAcentral's name for it is "lncRNA (ENSNSUG00000019731.1)". The record is from RNAcentral. Lineage: Eukaryota; Metazoa; Chordata; Lepidosauria; Squamata; Elapidae.
AUCCAUUUCAUGCAUCCAUAACUAUGUUUAUCCUUAUACCUGUUAUCUUAUAUAAUUGUUUGACAAAAUAAAUAAAAUAAAAUAAAAAUAAAUCCCUUCCCUGGGGCUUCCCCUCCUCUCCCGCACCUGGGAAGAUAGGAGAGGCGGGGAGGGGAUCUUGGAUGCCGGCGUUUUGGUCAGAGAAGCCGUUGGCUUUGUGGGGAGGGGAAUGGAUCAGCCGCCCCCGCUGAAUAGCCUGCGAGGAGCACCAACUGCGCCUCUGGCUGCUUUGAACCCGGCUCCGAAGGGAGGCUGCGCUCGGGGUUCUCUGCAUCAGCUGGGAAGGAAGACCACGAGUUAACCAAUGGAUUCUCUACUUGGUGCUGCAAUUGGCCUGGGUAAGUUCCUAGUUUCUUCCUCCACCAGUAUGUAAAUGCAGUUCCUUGUGGGAACUGGAGGGGUUUAAGAUUUCUCUCUUGGUCCUUGUCUUUUAGUAUCUUCUAUGUAAGUGGUGGGGGAUGAACAGUGGAAGGGAGAAGUAGAUCAGCUGAUGUUCUCCAGUAGUUUGGACUCUAUCCCCCAAAAGCCU